GAGAGAGUUCCAGUGGGAUGCGUCUCUCCCUUCCCAGGGAGUAUGAUUGAACGGCAGCACAGUGCCAGGGAUUCUUGUUACAACUGGACCUCUACCUGGUCACUGUGCACCCAGCUCCCUCAGGAGGGGAGAGAGUGGCCGCUCUCGUCUCCUGACUCACAGGAAGAGCGCUGGAGUGGGCAAACGCCAUGUGGAGAGAAGGAGACACGGCACCAGACCACUUCUGGAGGAGGAGCCAUCACGUGCGCCAUCUGUAGCCGUAGAAGACACACUGCCGGUCGGUGCCGUGUCGGUCCCCCUGGGAGUCGAGGUAGCAGGCAGGGCACUCUGGCGUCACCCCAGAUGAGUGGAGGCGUGCUGCUGACCCACUCAACAUGUGUGACUGACUGACGCUGUGGAGGGAGCACCACCACUUUCAGCUCCUGGGGCUGCAGUACAACAGCCAUGACUCUCGAUGGAACACACUGCUGGAAUGGAUAACGAGGAAAUUACAAUCCUAUUAUAAAAUGUUUCUAUCUACUUUUUCUAAUGUUGAAAGUUGAGAUGAGAAUGGAGGGAUAGCCUAAAAUAAAAAUCAUGGUUUAUCCUCACAACUGCUGUAGCUUUAUGAAUGUGGUAGGAGGUAUAGCAGAAGUACGCAGGGAAUACUAACCAUAUUCACAUAAAUAAUGCCACAGUGAAUUUAAAAUUCAAAUAUGAAGAAGACAAUAAAAACGCAAGAAGGAAAGAAAUUAAGAAGAAGGUUAGACAGACAGAGUUGAAUGGCAGAGGCAGACAAAGGGAGCGUUCACAUGGUAACUACUCCAGAGAGAGGUGGUCAGCUUUGGGCAUGACUGAGUGUUCUGUCACCUCAUCACUCAGACCCUGACUGGAAG
Molecule: long non-coding RNA, 875 nt
Filed under: Salmo salar (Atlantic salmon)
Lineage: Eukaryota; Metazoa; Chordata; Actinopteri; Salmoniformes; Salmonidae
Description: lncRNA (ENSSSAG00000100429.1)
Source: RNAcentral